Molecule: microRNA precursor, 510 nt
Filed under: Dioscorea bulbifera (air-potato)
Lineage: Eukaryota; Viridiplantae; Streptophyta; Magnoliopsida; Dioscoreales; Dioscoreaceae
Description: partial MIR444 transcript variant 2f_2
Source: RNAcentral
AUCAACGGAAAGCUUUUGGCUAGGGUUUGACUGAUAAGCAGCUGAGGGUUUUCAGUUUACGCAGAUGGAGGCAGUGAGUUUGAGGCAGCAAAUGCAUAACUUGUAGAAUUAUGAAUGGGAAAAGUGAUGGUACCGAUGACUUUCUUGCAAGUUAUGCAGUUGCUGCCUCAAGCUUGCUGCCUCCCUCUGCCAAAACUAGUGUGGACAAAAUAACCCAUGUCAAUGCAUUAUGUGAUCUUCACAGAUUCGCUGAUCUUGUCGGAGUCAAACCUUAUAAUGCUAUUCUGGUUAGAUAAAAAUCGGUUGAGAAUGUCUGCAGACCGUCUCAUGUCAGCUUUGAUGCAAAACAUAUCUUUGGCCUAUAGCAUUCAGUAAUGUUCUGCAUAACACAUUUGCUAGCGUUAUAUAUUGUUUGGGACACAGUGUGGGUACUCCUCUUUCAACUAUUUCUAGGUGAAUGCUGUCCAUUACAUCUCCUUCACAUGAGAUGGGUGAUUUGCAGAUGUCUCA